RNAcentral lists this ribosomal RNA (301 nucleotides) under uncultured bacterium. Its description in RNAcentral is "partial 16S ribosomal RNA". It matches the Rfam family "Bacterial small subunit ribosomal RNA", at positions 509 to 808 of the family's 1533-position model. The record is from RNAcentral.
CAGUGCCGCGGUAAUACGAAGGGUGCAAGCGUUAAUCGGAAUUACUGGGCGUAAAGCGUGCGUAGGCGGUUUGUUAAGUCUGUUGUGAAAUCCCCGGGCUCAACCUGGGAAUGGCAAUGGAUACUGGCAAGCUAGAGUGUGUCAGAGGAUGGUGGAAUUCCCGGUGUAGCGGUGAAAUGCGUAGAGAUCGGGAGGAACAUCAGUGGCGAAGGCGGCCAUCUGGGACAACACUGACGCUGAGGCACGAAAGCGUGGGGAGCAAACAGGAUUAGAGACCCGAGUAGUCCCUGUCUCUUAUACA